Non-coding RNA from Osmia lignaria (orchard mason bee), 2413 nucleotides. NCBI's taxonomy places the organism in Eukaryota, Metazoa, Arthropoda, Insecta, Hymenoptera, Megachilidae. The record is from RefSeq and is a predicted model, not a curated record.
AAAGUAAUACUAGAUAUAUUAUUUCUUGUAAUGCAAAGUCACGUGAUAAUAGUCAACGGUUUUUCAUAACGCAAUUACUGGAAUGAUCGAAAUUGCUACUUUACUUCAGUAUGAUAAUUUACUUUUUACAAUGAAUAUAAUCAACAAAUAAUACCUGAUCGAUAUAUAGCACUUGAUUUUCAAUAGAAGUUGUUACAAGAAUUUGGAAAGACUGAUAAAUAACGAAUAAUCCUCGAAUUAAAGAUAUACGUAUCCGUUUCCCGCGAUUUUGAAGAUGACGCAGCACGCAGGCAAAGAGGUGGUAUAAUACGUAGGGACCGGCUGAAUCGAUUAUCGAUUAGUACGAUCAGUCAAUGGAGGAAUAAUAGUGGUUAGUAUCGUUUAAUGAAUUUCAUCUCAGAAAUUAUUUAUAAAGUGGUACCAGGUAUAUUGUUUCUUGUAUAUACGUAUAAUUAUCUCAGAUUACACUUGAAUUAGGUUGUUGCAUAGGUUUUGUUCUAAAAAAUUGAUUGGUUUCUCGUGAAGAAUGUCUGUGACUUUUUGACAGCUGUAAUGGUGUUUUACCAUUUUUAUCACAAGGUUCUAAUUCAAUUUUACUUUUUUCACACAAUAUUUUAAUGCAACUGACAUUGCCAGAAAGAUAUGCUAAGUGCAGUGGAGUAGAUCCAAAGUAAACUGGCUUUUGUAAAUCUACUCCACUAUACAUGAGUAAUUUUAUUAGUUCUGCAUAACCCUUAUAUGCAACCCAAUGAAGGGCACUAUCACUAUUUGUAUCUGUUAAAUGUCCUAAUGCACCGGACCCUAAUAAAAAUGCUGCUUUCCAAACAUACAAGUGGUCAUUAAAGGAGUUAGGCCUUUAAAAUCUGCUGCAUUAAGGCAACAUUUGCCUAGAAUAAAUAAGAAAAAGAUAAUCAAAUUGUAAUUUUAUAUGCAAUUGUAAUUUUACUUAUUUUCAAUACCUUUAAUAAUAAUUGAACUAUCCCACUAUGACCUUUCCAACAAGUCCAAUGUAUCGGUCUUGGUCCUUGAGUUCCAAGACAAGAAAGAUCAACUGGUUUAUUAUUAAGUAUCUCAUUACCUAUUGCAUAUAGGUUUUUAUUUAUAAAUAAAAACGUAGCUUUUUCAUUGUAAUUGGUGUAUGAAUUUCAGAAAGUUAAUUAUACAAACUAACUUUAAUGUUUUCAUCCAGAGUAGCUCAACGGGCUGGGGUAUAUCCCCAUUCAACCUUUGCGUUUAAUACACUUCAACUAUUCUUUUCUACUAACUCAUUUUAAACAUUACAUUGUUUAAUAUUUCUUUAGCUUAGUUCACUGUUAAUACAAACAAUAUUAGGAUAACAAGUCUAUUCCAAAAUAUUCCCAACAAAUAUGGUAGGAGACAAUUUGUCUUAAUCAGGGACAAAGAGGUUAACCGAGGAAAAGGAAGUUGAUUGUGGUUCAAAGGCAAGAUGUAGUUUAAUUAAGAGUGCAGCGGGAAAGUACCAAGAUGUCAACGAGUCUUUAAACGUGUUUUGGUUGUGAAUUGGAACGUCCGCCUUACCAAUUAACCCACUUUCGAUUGAUCAACAAUUUUUAUUGAUUUAACGAAUGGAAACGUACAAUUCAUAUCGAGUGUACAACAAGGAUCUUGUGAUAGGUGUUGAAAACGAAAUACAGAACAAUUAUGUGAUUUUUAAUAAAAAAUGUAUCUGCUGUAUUAUCACCGUAAUUAUAAUACAAUGUUACAUGCCAUAAUUAACAGUCGAUACAGUAACGAAUUGUAUCUACACCGCUGAAUUAUCCGCCUAGGGUUACAAUAAAAAUUAACACGAUAAUUAUUUACGAUUAAAUAAAGAAAAAACAGUCUUUCGAGGUAUAGCGACUUAAUUACAACUGCGACGUGAUUAAUGCACGCAUAGUACACGAACUUAGUCUAAUUAGCGCUACGUGAGAAAUUAAAUGAAAAGGAAAGAAUACUGAUUAUCUAAGAAUAGUAACUCACGAAAUGCCCCAAACGCUAUACAAGCCUAUGAAAUCAUUGUAUCGCGUCUCGAUUAUGUGAAAAUCGUAUCUUAAUUAAUAAUUAAAUUAAGUGUACCAGACCUAUGUCAAUUAGUAAUACGGCAAUGUUCUUCUUACAAUAUUUUUUAGUUUUUACUAUUUUUUUUUGUGAAACAGUUCACCGGCAGAUAGUGUUAAUACCCAAUAAAAAUUGGGACAAAUAUCAUUCCAAUAUGACUCUGAGUAUCCAAUUACAGUCUCCGUUGAAAUUUUCCGACAAACGCAGUGAUUGCAGGCCGGUAUUAUCUCAUUUUAGAAACUAACCACGAUGAUUACGAUUCAAUUGACGUUAAAUAGUUGAUGGUACGAUUAAUCACCUGUUACAUCGAACUUACGUAUCCAUUUUUUUUUUUUUUUACCACGUAAGCUUAAAA